RNAcentral lists this transfer-messenger RNA (358 nucleotides) under Oligoflexales. RNAcentral describes it as "Bin106 sp002238945 Standard tmRNA". It matches the Rfam family "transfer-messenger RNA". Rfam says of the family: Bacterial tmRNA, also known as 10Sa RNA or SsrA, is named for its dual tRNA and mRNA-like properties. Its role is to liberate the mRNA from a stalled ribosome. Lineage: Bacteria; Pseudomonadati; Bdellovibrionota; Oligoflexia. RNAcentral also lists the same sequence under 1 other name. The record is from RNAcentral.
GGGGCCGUAGUGGCUUCGACGAGUAGUGUUAUGAGUUAAGGAGCAUGCAGAGGCUGGCAUCGAGUUCUCUUUAAUUUUUCGAUGUAACAAGCUUAAUUGGCGACAAUUUAGCUUUAGCUGCUUAAUAGAAUAAGUAGCCGAUGAUCAGGAGAGUGCUGAAAUCUCCUAGGAUUCGUCAUUUUUUCAGCUGGUGACUUUCACUUCCGUCUGUAGUGUGAGUCAUAAGAUCAAUCAGACUGCGGGUUACAUACAUGUGUUCUUGUAUGUAUUAACCAAGAGGAUUUUGCAAGAACUAAGCAUGUAGCGUCUUUUCCAUGAUCUAUCUCGGACACGGGUUCGAUUCCCGUCGGCUCCACCA